CGCCUGUUUAUCAAAAACAUGUCCUUUUGUUUAUAAAUAUAAGGUCUAGCCUGCCCAAUGAUUUAUUGAAUGGCCGCGGUAUAUUAACUGUGCUAAGGUAGCAUAAUCAUUUGUCUUUUAAUUGAAGGCUAGAAUGAAUGGCUGGACGAAACAUAAGCUUUCUUUAAUUUAUUUUUAGAAUUUAAUUUUUUAGUCAAAAAGCUAAAAUUUGUUUGAGGGACGAGAAGACCCUAUAGAUCUUUAUAUUUUUUAUUAUUAUGUAUUUUAGUGAAUUUAUUAUCUAUAAUAAUAUAAUUUAUUUGGUUGGGGCGACUGUAGAAUUUUCAUUAACUUCUAUUUAUUUUAUUUCAUUGAUUAGUGUUUAGUUGAUCCAAUAUUAUUGAUUAAAAGAUUAAGUUACCUUAGGGAUAACAGCGUAAUUCUUUCGGAGAGUUCUUAUCGAUGGAAGAGUUUGCGACCUCGAUGUUGGAUUAAAAUUAGUUGUAGGUGCAGGAGUUUACAAACUAGGUCUGUUCGACCUUUAAUUUUUUACAUGAUCUGAGUUCAAACCGGAG
This 554-nucleotide ribosomal RNA is filed under the name Sinea diadema. RNAcentral's name for it is "partial 16S ribosomal RNA". It matches the Rfam family "Bacterial large subunit ribosomal RNA", at positions 1797 to 2621 of the family's 2925-position model. The record is from RNAcentral. Lineage: Eukaryota; Metazoa; Arthropoda; Insecta; Hemiptera; Reduviidae.